CCUACGGGCGGCAGCAGUGAGGAAUAUUGGUCAAUGGGCGCGAGCCUGAACCAGCCAAGUAGCGUGAAGGAUGACUGCCCUACGGGUUGUAAACUUCUUUUAUAAAGGAAUAAAGUGAGGCACGGGUGCCUUUUUGUAUGUACUUUAUGAAUAAGGAGAGGCUAACUCCGUGCCAGCAGCCGCGGUAAGACGGGGGAGCCGAGCGUUAUCCGGAUUUAUUGGGUUUAAAGGAAGCUUAUAUGGGUUGUUAAGUGAGUUGUGAAAGUUUGCGGCUCAACCGUAAAAUUGCAAUUGAUACUGGCAGCCUUGAGUACAGUUGAGGUAGGCGGAAUUCGUGGUGUAGCGGUGAAAUGCUUAGAUAUCACGAAGAACUCCGAUUGCGAAGGCAGCUUACUAAACUGCCACUGACAUUGAUGCUCGAAAGUGUGGGUAUCAAACAGGAUUAGAUACCCCUGUAGUC
Molecule: ribosomal RNA, 460 nt
Filed under: uncultured bacterium
Lineage: Bacteria
Description: partial 16S ribosomal RNA
Rfam family: Bacterial small subunit ribosomal RNA
Source: RNAcentral